RNAcentral lists this long non-coding RNA (3245 nucleotides) under Zostera marina. RNAcentral's name for it is "long non-coding RNA (ZMAR_LNC005503)". Lineage: Eukaryota; Viridiplantae; Streptophyta; Magnoliopsida; Alismatales; Zosteraceae. The record is from RNAcentral.
ACAAAACACAUUGCAAGGGUUGAUUCAUGACAUAGUUUACAGAUCUUCCGUCGGACAUUCUGCUUACAAUUUUCGACAAGAUCGGAGCACAUGACAUCUUACACUCGGCACAAUUUGUGUGCAAGGAAUGGUAUAACCUUUCUCUCAAUUUUCAAACAUGGAGUCAUAUCGAUGGAACAGACUUAAUCUUCAAGGAACUCGAGAUUGCUCUAGAUCGUAGUUCUGGGGGUUUGAUUGACUACGAAACUUAUACACUGAAUAUACGGGAUUACGAAGACCUCGAAUACGUAUUCGAAAGGUAUAAAUAAAUUUUCAUUACCUUAAUUACGAUCGGAUCUUAAUAAUUACCAUCCAAACAGGUCUCCACAAUUGAAGACAUUAAGUUUUUCAUGCCAAGGUUGGUUUUGCCCUAUUCUCGAGAAAGUAUUAACAAAAGCUUCCAAGAACUGUCCGUUAAUAAAUGAUAUAAGCGCGUUUGAAUUUGAAUUCGACGAUGAUUUCAUAAUACUUAUUGGGAAUUUAUUUCCAAACCUCAAAAAGUUUCGAAUGGUCGGUAAAUGUGAUGAGGUAUCGGUAGCUUCUAUAACAAAAAAGAUGAGUGGAUUGAUCGAGUUACAACUCGAUAUGGACAAUUUUAGCUAUGCUGAUAUUUGCAUCCGUAUACGUGCUAUUCUUAAUGGUUAUCCUCGUCUUCAACUCCUUGGUGUUACGAUACAGAUGGAUAGUGAUUUUUUGUUAUACAACUUAGACGAAGAUCUCAAAAAGAUAUUGAAGUCUAUUAAGGUUUGCGAAUAUUGCAGUUAUUACGGAUUUUGGAAUUUUUAUAUGCAUACUUGGAGGAUAUAGAGGGUCAACAUGCAUGAUAAAAGUAGGAGGUCCGAAGAGGUAUGAGUCGAGACAGCGUCGGGAGAUCGGAGGAGGAGGAGACGCGAGUGGAGACGAAACGUUUUGUAAACCCUCGGGUUUUAGUUUUUGUAUUUGUAAAACUUGAGUUAAAAAUAAUUACAACAUGUAUUAAUUAUACUAGCUAUCUAUGAGCCUUGAGUAUGGGCCGGACUUAAUAUAAUUAAAUCUAAACGCAUAAUACUUUAUACUUCAAUACAAUAUCUGAGAUUUGUCUCAGUUAUUAAAUUUUUGGUAGUUCUUAUAUCAUUAUUAGGUAGUUGGAUUGUUGAAGGUUCAAGGUUCGAGUCUCACUGUAUGUAUUUUAAUUUUAAUUUACUUAUGUGUCGUAACUUAAUUUAUAAAAAAAAUGGUUUUUAUAUCUAGUUUUUUUUUGUAAAGUGCUAUUAAAACAUAAAUUUAAACAAUAAUAAAUGAAAUUUAAACAAAAAAAUAUAUGGAUAUAAAUGAAUUAUUUUAUAAAAUUUUGCAGAAAAAAAUCUUAAAUUAAAUGUGAUAGUUUUUAUUGAGACAGUUCUUGGAUUGAGUUGUAUGCCAAACACAACCAUGUACAAAAGUGAGAUUUUUUUGCUUGUUUAUUUUCUUAACAGGUAAAAAUAAGUUGUCCGGAGUUUGAGUUAAGCCGUAUCAAUAGGAUGAUUUUCCUAUCCAAAGCAGAAAAAUCCCUGUCCCCGGCCGAAAUCCCCGGACAUUUCCGGGUACGGUGAUGGGGAUUGAAAUUCCCGUCCCGUAUAAUCCCCGUACCCGGAGAAAAUUGCAUAUAGACCUUAUAAAAAAUUUAUAUUGUAUAAUUUAUAUAAAUAACCUUAUACAAUAUAUUAAAUAGAUAAAUUUAUAUUUAAAAUUGUAAAAUUAAAUCUAUAUUUUAAAUUUCUAAUUAAAAAGUUAAACCUAAUCAAAUUAAUCUCGUUCUCAUUCUUGUAACCUUGUUCCACCGUCGAGCGCCGACAUCUUGUUCCACCGUUGUCCUAAGGUAAGCUGUCGCAUGUCUGAAUUUUUUUUAAAUGAAAUAACUAAGGUAUUAGCGUAUUAACCGCUUGUUCCACCGCUUGUUUAAAUGAAAUAAUUAAGGUAUUACUGUAUUAACCGCUUGUUCCAUCGUUGGUUUAAAUGAAAUAACUAAGGUAAGACAAAAGAUAUUUUUGUUCCACCGCACUUUAUUCUUAUGAUCUUUUUUAUUAAAUAUUAAUUAAUAAAAGGAUUGACGAUUUCAGUAUAUCACGAUAGUCUAUUUUGGUUAUUUUUAGUAAAUUACUGUUUAAAAUAAUAAUAAUAAUAAAAUAUUUUGACUGGGUACGGGGACGAUUUAUGGGACCGGGGAUUUCCCCGUCCCCGACGAUGAACGCAAUCCCCACCCCGUCCUGCUUACCCCUAGCUUGAUUGUUGUAGGUCUAAGGUUCGAUCUCACUUUGUGUAUUUUAAUUUUUAUUUACUAAUAUAUUUCCACGUACCUUAUUAAAAAAAGUAGUAGUUUUUAUAUCUAGUUUUUUUUGUAAAGUGCAUUAAUUGGAAUUUAAAACAAGAAAACAAUAAUAAAUGAAAUUUAAACAAAAAAAAUACAAGGAUAUAAAUUAUUUAUUUUAAUAAAUUUUGCAAAAAAAAUCUUAAAUUAAAUGUUUUACAAAAAAAUAAAGAAAUUAUUCUUGAAAAACAACUUCAUAGGUCCGGGUCCAAAUCAACCAGUCCAGACCCGGUCCAUUUACAACCCUAUUGUUGGACCCGUUUUAAGCCCAUGUCUAAUUUCGGAAAGAGUCUCGAUAAUUCAAAAUCUCAUUGUGAAGCUGACUUUGUAUUUUAUUGGAAACACUUCGGGUAAAAUAUUAAUCUAGACCGCUCAAUUUAUUUCAAACGAAAAGCCUAGAUUAAUAUCUCGUAAAAUAUCUUAAUUACUUGAAAAAUACACCUAUAUUUUAUAUCGAGGUGUUCGAUCGUUUCAUUCCAUUCGUUAAUUCUAAAUUAAGAAUCUAUUUUUAAUUAUUCUAUUUUUUUGCUUCUAAAUUCGAAUCCUAAAAGCUUAUAUUAUAAAUAGAGAUGAAACAUUAUUUAUAAUUCCAUUCCAUUGAACGACAAAACACAUUGCAAGGGUUGAUUCAUGACAUAGUUUACAGAUCUUCCGUCGGACAUUCUGCUUACAAUUUUCGACAAGAUCGGAGCACAUGACAUCUUACACUCGGCACAAUUUCUGUGCAAGGAAUGGUAUAACCUUUCUCUCAAUUUUCAAACAUGGAGUCAUAUCGAUGGAACAGACUUAAUCUUCAAGGAACUCGAGAUUGCUCUAGAUCGUAGUUCUGGGGGUUUGAUUGACUACGAAACUUAUACACUGAAUAUACGGGAUUACGAAG